GACGAACGCUGGCGGCGUGCUUAACACAUGCAAGUCGAACGGAAAGGCCCUGCUUUUGUGGGGUGCUCGAGUGGCGCACGGGUGAGUAACACGUGAGUAACCUGCCCUUGACUUUGGGAUAACUUCAGGAAACUGGGGCUAAUACCGCAUAGGAGCUCCUGCUGCAUGUGGGGCGUUGGAAAGUUUCGGCGGUUGGGGAUGGACUCGCGGCUUAUCCGCUUGUUUGUGUGGUAGUGGCUUACCAAGGCUUUGACGGAUAGCCGGCCUGAGAGGGGGACCGGCCACAUUGGGACUGAGAUACGGCCCAGACGCCUACGGGAGGCAGAAGUGGGGAAUAUUGCACAAUGGGCGGAAGCCUGAUGCAGCAACGCCGCGUGCGGGAUGACGGCCUUCGGGUUGUAAACCGCUUUCGCCUGUGACGAAGCGUGAGUGACGGUAAUGGGUAAAGAAGCACCGGCUAACUACGUG
Molecule: ribosomal RNA, 468 nt
Filed under: uncultured bacterium
Lineage: Bacteria
Description: partial 16S ribosomal RNA
Rfam family: Bacterial small subunit ribosomal RNA
Source: RNAcentral